AUAUUCGAUGUCAGCCGGAAUUUUCAUUUGUCCCAAUCUUUGCGGACGAAAGUAUAGCUAUAAAGGUGGUCUUUCCAGACAUUUAAAAUACGAAUGCGGAGUCGAACCGAAGUUCAAAUGCGAGAUUUGUACUAAAAAAUUCAUCCACCGAGCACAUUUACGAUCACAUCGUGGACUGGUUCAUAAGCUGAUAUAAAGUUUCUGUGAAGAGAUAGAUCCCCUGGCGUCGGUGUUUUUCUGUCCGAAGAAGUGUGGUCGAAAAUAUUACUCUAAAGGUGCUAUAAAUAGACAUCUGAAGUACGAAUGCGGAGUGGAACCGAAAUUCACUUGUAAUAUGUGUUCCAAGAAAUUCAAUCAUAAGUCUCAGUUAAGGUCUCAUUCUGCGUUGAUUCAUAAAAUUACGAUGUAACUUGUAUUUUUUUUUGGAUAAUUUAUUGUUUUCUUGAAAGAUUGAUUGAUUCUUUUUUGAAUAAAACUUUUGUGAUGAA
Long non-coding RNA from Planococcus citri (citrus mealybug), 488 nucleotides. RefSeq lists it as uncharacterized. The transcript has 2 exons. The record is from RefSeq and is a predicted model, not a curated record. NCBI's taxonomy places the organism in Eukaryota, Metazoa, Arthropoda, Insecta, Hemiptera, Pseudococcidae.